ACGCUCGACACCUACGGGAAGCAGCAGUGGGGAAUAUUGCACAAUGGGGGAAACCCUGAUGCAGCGACGCCGCGUGAGCGAAGAAGUAUUUCGGUAUGUAAAGCUCUAUCAGCAGGGAAGAAAGUGACGGUACCUGACUAAGAAGCACCGGCUAAAUACGUGCCAGCAGCCGCGGUAAUCUGAGCGGGCUGGCAAGGC
RNAcentral lists this ribosomal RNA (198 nucleotides) under uncultured bacterium. RNAcentral describes it as "partial 16S ribosomal RNA". It matches the Rfam family "Bacterial small subunit ribosomal RNA", at positions 326 to 539 of the family's 1533-position model. The record is from RNAcentral.